CGCAACGGCUCUAAUUAGAAUCGGAAUUGGUUAGUAGUCUAAGAUAAUUUGAACGUUGCUGCCCAGCCUUGCAUGAAGUUGUUAUGUGUUCUUGAUGGUUUUUCGUGUUAUGUGUUGCAUGAGUAUGUUGAUCACUUGUAUAUAAUAAUCUUAGGUUUAAUUUUCAGUAGAUUAUUUGUUAGAAUUAAUCAAUCUUAAACCCCCAAUAUUUCGAUGUAUAUAUGUGAAUACUUGUUUAUAAGUUGUUUGAUUUCUCUUCUUUCGAUCGCCCUUUGGUUUCCCCGGCUAGAACGAUCCCUACUUGUCCAUAUUACUACGAUUGCAGGGUAAUUAAAUUGAAGUUGUUUGACCCCGGUUACGCGACACGUCAGGUAACAAGUAACAGUUCAUAGUAUACAAAGACAUAGCCUAAGCAAUUACCUUAAUCAAAAGCUCCAUACCUGCAACGCUAAGAAGCUUUGAGCUCCAACCAAUGAGCUUUGUAGAUAAAUCAUCCUUGAUAUAGGCAAAAGUAUCGGAUUUAGAUCUACCAACCAAAGUGGGAAUACUAAGGUACUUCUCAUGCUUUUCCACUAAUUGCACUCCCAAAGUAUCUGCCAAGGUCGGACUAGUUUUCUAAGAAACAUUACCACUGAACACCCCAUUACUUUUCUGCAGUUAAACGUUCUAACCAUAGGCUCUUUCAUAUAGAUUCAAUAUGUUUGAGCCCAGUGGGUAUUUUUGGUCCAAGACUCAGGGUACGUUUUGGAUAACAUUUGGGCCAGUACCUGUGGCCCUUUUUUAAUGCGAAACUCACGAAGGGUGGCGAAGUCUGGCAACACGCGAGUUGGAAUUGUGCAAGGAUUCUGAUACCUUGCGGGAUUCGAUGUCCUCGCGGGAUCCUUUGUUCUAGUUCAUGUAGGAUUCUACAGUGCAUGGCGAGGUAGAGUUGGAAAUGGACUGUAGUACCCGCGGGAUAGGAUCGCUUAGUGCUCGAGUUCGCGUACGACGUUACAGUGAUAUGAUGCGGGGCGGUGAGCGAGACCUAGGCGAAGUCUGUUUUGGACACGUGUUGCAUGGAUCGCGCGGCUCGCGAGCUGGUCGUUUCCUGGUGGAAUUCUAAUUGCUGAGUCCGAAUGGAUUUGUGAUUAGGUCUCUGCGAAUUGCUUGCGGAUCGCUAUAUAAGGGAGCUUGACACAACGAACAAGACACACAAUCAAUCAUACAAAACAACUGCAAAUCUUCGAGCAUCCUCGAAACCCUAAGUUCUAAGU
Molecule: long non-coding RNA, 1253 nt
Filed under: Fragaria vesca (wild strawberry)
Lineage: Eukaryota; Viridiplantae; Streptophyta; Magnoliopsida; Rosales; Rosaceae
Description: long non-coding RNA (FVES_LNC004618)
Source: RNAcentral